GAAGGAGUAGUUUAAUAAAAUUUUCGAUUUCGGCUCGUUUGUUUUUGGUUAAAAUCCAAACUCUUUUU
Molecule: transfer RNA, 68 nt
Filed under: Florometra sp. BMK-2020
Lineage: Eukaryota; Metazoa; Echinodermata; Crinoidea; Comatulida; Antedonidae
Also listed under: 1 other name
Description: tRNA-Arg
Rfam family: tRNA
About the family: Transfer RNA (tRNA) molecules are approximately 80 nucleotides in length.
Source: RNAcentral